Lentinula lateritia is the source of this 102-nucleotide non-coding RNA. Lineage: Eukaryota; Fungi; Basidiomycota; Agaricomycetes; Agaricales; Omphalotaceae. The record is from the annotation of a GenBank genome assembly.
UCCAAUGUGGUGUAGUGGCCAACAUUGCUGUCUUUCAUAGAGCAGCCGCCAAAAUGAAUAUAAUUUGCACAGCAGCCCGGGGUUCGAUUCCCCGCAUUGGAA